AUACCCUAUUAUUUUUAAUAUAAAUUUUAAAGCCAGAGUAUUUAUAGUUAUGAUCUUAAAACUUAAAGAAUUUGGCGGUAUUAUAGGUCUAUUUAGAGGAAUCUGUUAAGUAAUCGAUAACCCACGUUAAACCUUACUUAUAUUAAUUCUUGUAUACCACUGUUAAGAAUAUAUUGUAAAGUUAUGUUCAUGUAAAAUUAUUAUCUAAAAUUUCAAGUCAAGGUGCAGUAAUAUAUAAGGUAAUUAAUGGAUUACAAUAAAUUAUAUUUAUAACGGAUAAUAAAUAGAAUUAUAAAUUUGAAGGUGGAUUUAAUUGUAAAUUUUAGAAGAAUAUAAAAUUGAUUAGAGCUCUAUAAUAUGUACACAUCGC
This 370-nucleotide ribosomal RNA is filed under the name Acontista aurantiaca. Its description in RNAcentral is "partial 12S ribosomal RNA". Lineage: Eukaryota; Metazoa; Arthropoda; Insecta; Mantodea; Acanthopidae. The record is from RNAcentral.